UACGGGGGGAGCAAGCGUUGUUCGGAUUUACUGGGCGUAAAGGGCGCGUAGGCGGUCACGACAAGUCAGUUGUGAAAUCUCCGGGCUUAACUCGGAACGGUCAACUGAUACUGUCGGACUAGAGUGCAGAAGGGGCAACUGGAAUUCCCGGUGUAGCGGUGAAAUGCGCAGAUAUCGGGAAGAACACCCGUGGCGAAGGCGGCUCUCUGGGACGGUACUGACGCUGAGACGCGAAAGCGUGGGGAGCGAACAGG
Molecule: ribosomal RNA, 254 nt
Filed under: uncultured bacterium
Lineage: Bacteria
Description: partial 16S ribosomal RNA
Rfam family: Bacterial small subunit ribosomal RNA
Source: RNAcentral